Long non-coding RNA from Aethalodelphis obliquidens (Pacific white-sided dolphin), 7619 nucleotides. RefSeq lists it as uncharacterized. The record is from RefSeq and is a predicted model, not a curated record. The transcript is spliced from 4 exons. NCBI's taxonomy places the organism in Eukaryota, Metazoa, Chordata, Mammalia, Artiodactyla, Delphinidae.
ACCACCGCCAGGCGUUAGCUGGAAGGGAAGGACUCUUCUUUGGAGGGGUGGUACCUGGCCAACAGGUGUGGCACCUGGAGGAAGAGAAGGCACGGCCAUGCUAAAGGGAGCUCAGUGCGGCGUUUUCCUGGCUGCAGAUAAUUCUGGAAGACCGGUAUCAUCGGAUGCAUCUCCUCUGAAAGCCGAUCAAGUUACAAGGUGAUGCCUUCCAACCCCUCCCCCAUCUCUGGUUUAAAAGUUGUAGCUGAAAUACCAAUAGUAAGAACAUGUGACCCCAGCACUCCCAGCGGGAGCUUUUCUGCAGUCAAUUUCAUAAUGACUUUGCUCCGCCUCUCUGCUCAGCACUUCCUUCCCCCUCACUCUCCUCUCUCCCCCACCCCCAGCAAUGAAUCAUCCCGCAUUUAAAGAGACUUAGAUGACCCAGUGUGAACUUUACAGGCAUCCUGUACAUUCUUAUGCCAAAAAAGGGAGUUGCUCUGUGACAGAAACCUAGGCAGAUCCCGAUGCAGAUCUCAGAAGUGGGGAGCUGGGGUGCUUAUCUAGGAAGAUCAGUGAGGAGUUAAUUUUCCUAGAUCCUGGUGGGGAUUCAGAAUUGCCUAUCGCAGUUCACGAUCAGGUUUUUAAGAACCCAGUUCAGCUCUUUGUGCAGAAAGGAAUAUAUCAGAGACAAAAAUGUUGGCAGAUCUCCUUUAUGCAAUCAGGGCAGAGGAAUUUAUACCACAUCAGCCUUUUGAUUUCUUCAGAUCUGGCUGAGGGUGGGGUUUCCAUAUUUGUGCUUUGGCAAAUGUGUCCAAGAAUGAACUCUGCCUUAGAGAUGCUCCGAAUGUUCUUUCAGGUUACUGUGUGCUGAUUUGUGCAUUUAAUAUUAAAACCAGAAACAUUCUUGCCCCUUCAUUUCUUUAAUACCGUUUCUGAGUAAUACAGAUUAAGUAGACAAUCUGGGCCUUGCUUUUAGAGACCUUUUCACCCCACUUAAGGCGGUAAAGAGUGGACCACCUAGACAACAUUGUGCUUUCGCAUAUACUUUCUCUCUACCUGGGAAGCCCUUCUUUGCAUGGCGAUCUUUCCCCACCCUCCAGGACCCAGCUCAAGCACCAGCACUUCUGCAAGUCUUCCCUGAUUAUCACAAGACUUUGCAGCUCUGCCCAAUGUGUGAGUCAGAGAAGUGCUAUUUUCUUAUUCUUUUUAUUUAUACAAUAUAUAUUUUCUUAACUCUGACAGAAAAAAAAUCAGGGCCAUAAGCACAGAUGGAGAUUAUCCUAAGUGAGAGCAUCUCUUAUCUAAUAGUUCCUAUACUCCCAAACCCAUUUGACCUCCACUUACGAUUUCACAUGUAACUGUUUUCCUUUUAUUGCUCCAUUUCUGUGGCUCCCCCCACUGGUCAGUUCUCUACGUGAGUUCCUGUUGCCCUCUGUCAUAGGUUGAACUGUGUUCCCCGAAAGAUAUAUUGAAGUCCUAGGCCCCAGGAAAGUGAGUGUGACUUUAUUUGGAAAUAGGGUCUUUGCAGAUGUAAUUAGUUAAGAUGAGGCCUUACCGGAUUAGGGUGGAUCCUGAGUCCAAUAUGACUGCUGCCCUCCUAAGAAGAGGAGGCACAGAAACCGAAGAGACACAGGGCGGGGAAGAAGGGUACAGGAAGACAGAGGCAGAGCUUGGUGUUAUGCUGCCACCAGCCAAGGAAAGCCAAGAACGGCCAGCAACCACCAGGAGCUAGAAGAGGCAACGAAGGAUUCUUCCCUAGAGCCUCAGAGGGAGCAAAGCCUUGCUGACACCUUGAUUUUGGACCUCUAGCCUCCAGAACUAGGCCACUGUGACCAGAACUCAGGUGUAGGAUCUGAAAGUAACCUGGCCACACAAAAAAGUAUAAAACACUACCACCUCUUCACAGACUCACUCCACUUUAUAUUUGAGGGAAACGAUCCUGGAAGCGGAAAUACUUCGAGAGUUCAACAGUCUGGGAAAUUUAAAGGAGGGGGAAAAAAGCCCUGCAUUUCCAAAGAUCUGAAGACAGAACUCUGCUCUCUGAGGACAGCAGGAAGUAAGAAGACCCGAUUCGUGGCUUCAGGAGAGGAAAAGAAAAGAGCCCCACAAGGAAACUACCAACAGAUGGGAAAUCCAGGUGAGAGAAGCCCUACCCUGGAGCAUCUCCGGAAAACUCAUAUAAACCAACAAGAGAGGCAACUUGGUAUAUCUGUCAAGGCCAAAGAACUCUGAUACUAGCUCGUCACACAACCACCAGGCAAGUAAGAACUUUCUUGCUCCCCUCUCCUUAUCUUCCUCCCAGUAAUCUAACCACAGAGAAGUGUGCAGUCACCUUCUGAAAACUGCAGGGGGCAGGGAUCAGAAAAGAAAGGGCACAUGGGUUGCUCUCCUAACCCAGUUGUGGCUCUUUGUAGGAGGCUGAGAUGGGGAUGGGAGAAACCUGUCGAUGUUUUUACUGUGACAUGAAUCCAGACACGUUAAUUACUGACCAAAGGAUAUAUUUCCUGGAAGUGACUAGAAGAAUAAAAAUUUGAUCUAAAUUUCACCCAAGAGCAGAGAAAGUGCUAACUCUGUGGAAUAAAUCUGAAGUGUUGCUUUAUGAUUGAUUACAUCCUAUGAGUCACACUUGUUCAAUGUAACAGUUACAUAACCAUUUCUAAAUGCAAUUGAAUGGAGCAGUUCUUAUAGAACCUUCUGUAGCGUUUUCCCCUAUGAAGUCACCGUGUUUCUGUCUGAAAUCUGGAAAAUUAUAUGUCAAAUUGUCCUCAAAGAGAAUUUUGUCCUUUUUACUUAUUGUUUAUGAGCACUUACGAAAUUUCUAAACUGAAAAGCAUUAUAUGCUUGGUACAGAUUGGGUGUUCAAUAAAUGUUGAAUUAACAAAGAAAUGAAUGGGCAGUGAAGAGAAAUCCUGAUUGCCUGGGUUCUUUAUAAACCCAGGCUAUCCUCAGAUUUCUUUACGGUAGAGUAAGAACUAUCCCAGGUUGGUGAUUUCUGAGACAUUCCAACCAGUCACUUAUGGUCUCCUUACAUGGAAUUAUAAAACAUUAGCGUUAGAAGGACACUUAGGAGGUGAUUUAGUCCAACCCUUUCAUUUUACAGAUGAAGGCCCAAAGAAGUGAAAUAAUUUGAUUAAGGUCACCUUUUUCUAUAGUAUCAGUGCUAGGCCUGGAGACUCUGACAGCUGACUCAUUGAUAGUGACAUUCCUUGGUUUCUGGGCCUCUUGAUAGCUUGGCUUUGGUGGAGUGAUAGCUUAUGUUCUCUUGUUAGUUUUUUCAUCAGUAAAUCAGAAGUUGCACCUAAGAAGCAAACAUGAAAUAUCUACUUGUGCUCAGAAUUGCACCUAUACUUGGAAUAGAGUGAGGAGUGAGGACCACCUACUGCCCUCAAGGAGCUUAUAGCCAAGUGGGGGAGACCGACAAGUAAAACACAACUAUAAUGAAGUGGGCUAAGUGCUAUGAAAGAAAGAAUCACAGUGAGCUACUUAGAAAAAGCACCUCAUCCAGACUAAGGGUCAUGGAGGGCUUGUUAGAGAAGGUGUCAUCUGAGUUGAGUCCUGAGAAUGAGGAAGUGUUAAUAAUCAUGGUGUGUUUGGCAAACCCUGAGGAUUGUACUAUGGAGGUAUCACUGAGUACAAAGGGGUGGGAAGAGAGAUGGGUUAAAGAGAUAAGCAGGAGCCCAAACAUGGAGGGAUUUCCAUGCUAUAGUAAGAUGUGUAUACUUUAUAGAAAGUCUAUCAAAAAUGACUGAAGUAUUUUUUUGCAGGGGACUUAUGAGGCCUGAUUUCUGCCUCAGAUAUAACAGUCUAGCUACAGAAUGGGGAACAGCUUUGAGUGGGAUAAUGUAGGCAGAGAGGCCAGCUGGGAAACUAUUGAAAUAAUCUAGGUAAGAAAAAAUGGCAGUAGAGAUGGAAAAGGCAAAAGAAUUUCAGAGCAAUGUGCUAGGGACUGACUUGUGUACCCCUCUUCCCCUAAAGCCCAAUGUGACGGUAUUUGGAGAUGGGGACUUCGGGAGAUAACCAGGUUUAGAUGAGGUCAUGCAGGUGCCCCCCCCCCCAUGAUGGGAUUAGUGCCCUUAUAAGAAGAAACACCAGAAAGCUUGCAUUCUCCCUUCACCAUGUGAGGGCAAAUUAAGAAGGCAGUCCUCUACAAGCCUGGAAGAGAGUCCUCACCAGAAACUGAACAUGCUUUGAUUUUGGACUUCUAACCUUCAGAACUGUGGGAAAAUAAAUUUCUGUGUUUAAGCUAGCCAGUCUGUGGUAUUUUGUUAUGGCAGCCCGAGCUGAGUAAUACACAAAGGAAGUUGAAUGAAGGAUGUGGUGAUGUAUUAGAUGUAGGGAAUAAGGAGAGUGAGGAGCCAAGGGUUGGAUGAGUGUUCAGACUUACUGUGUAAAGAGGGAAGCCUAAAAAAGGGAACACUGGCAGAGAAAGGGGAAACUUGGUAGAGACCAAAGAGAGUAGCCAGAGAGAUUAAGGGAAAACAGAAGAGGCCAAGAGAAGGGAGGUUUUUUUUUUUAAAAAAGAAGAUAAUGUUCAAUUGUGCAAAUAUUAUAAAGAUGUCAAGGUAAGGUUGAAAGGUGUCCGCUGGCUUCUGUGAUAAAUGCCUUUGGAGACCUUGGCAAGAAUUGUUUCAACACUGUGAGGGCAGAUAUGAUACCACAGUUGAUUGAGGAGAGAAUGAGAUGUCAGGAAGUAUAGACAGCUAGUAUAGAAAGCACAUUUAAGAAUCCUUGCUUUGAAAUGAGGAAGAGAAGUGGAUAGGUAAUGAGAAGGGAAGGAAGCAAGGGGGAUUUUUUUAAUGAUAUAAGCUUUUUAGGAGGGAUGACGUUGAGGACAUACUAGAAGAGAGGCAAUAAUUGAUGAGCAAGGCUACUGAGUGUGCAGGCCACGAUGGGCUACAUAGCUCAGAUGCAGAGACUGGCUUUAGAAGGAGAGGCUUCAUCCUCCAUCAUGGGAGGAAAGUAAGAAUGAAUGCAGAUGUGUGCAAGAUUGUAGGUGCAGAGUCAGUCCUACCUGAUGGCUUCCAUUUUCUUUUUGAGGUAGCAGGUGAGAGUGAGUGAGGUAGGUGGUGAAAUGUUAGGAAAGGGGAUGGAGGAGGUGGCUUCAGUGACUUGUGUGAGGAAUGAGAGAGAGAAACAGAGGGCUGACGAUAAACACAGUAGGCAUGGCUGGCAGCAUGGGGGCAAUUGGAAAUUUUAUACCAUGGAAUUUUGGUGCACCAAUUCCCUCCACUGUGCAAUUUUUCUUCUUCAUACUUAGCUGCCUAAACAUAGAAGAAGGCAGAGAAUUACGCUGUUACAAAGUUUGGGUUUUGCCAGUGAAUGAGAAUGAAGGACAACGGGAAGAAAGUUGAGGAGGUCAAGGAAAUAAAAAGUUAGGAGCUCAGACGAUUUCUACUUCUAGGGAUAUGGAGUAGACGUAUUUUCCCCAUUCUUCCUGCUACGUAUAACUAACAAAAUGCUGGAUAUUAUAUACAAAACAAAUGUAAAAAGACUGAAAGGUGAAGCAAAGAAAGCAGACCAGCUAGGGAUCUUGAGAGUGAGGAGAUGAUACAGUGGUGAGUUCCCUGGGUUUUCCUUUUGUCUCAUAUAUUGCAGACUCAGAGUGGAAGAAGGUGGCAAUCCACAAACACAGACAAAAAGGGCCCCAACAAAGGUCUGCUUUCUCUAAGGACAGGAGAAAGGCAGUCUAGGAAGAUAGAAAACUUUUAGACAAUAAAAGCUUUACCAGCACCAAACAUUACAGAAAAAAUACUGACCCCACCUUCACCAGCAAAGGCUGAAUUGGGGGCCUAGACUUCCACAAUCACCAAGCUGUAACAAAACAUCCUAACCCCUUUGCUGGAAUUUCAUCCUUGCUGGGUGGUAGCUCCUCCUCCUGACCCCCCUACUCCCUAGCUCUGGUAUUGGUUGAGACCAGAUAGGGAGCACAGACUAAUACUCUCACCCUGAAGUAACAAGGCAUUCUUCCCUCUCCCCACUGGGGUGGUGUCAGAGAACGCCUAGGAGUAAUGAAGAGCAUCCUCCCUUGACUGUCAACAGAGGCCAAGUAGGACCUGAACUUCUACCCUCACCUGGCAGUAAUGAAGCAGUGUCUACCACUCCGUCCCCAGCAAGAGCAGUGUCAGAGGAAGCCAGCUAAAACAGAAGGUUGAAAUAAGAUCCAAAGUCUCAAAACAUAUAUCCCAAAUAUCCAGGUUUCAAUAAAAAUUACUUGUCAUACCAACUGUAUUAGGUCCCUAGGACUGCCAUAACAAAGUAUCACAAAUUCGAUAGCUUAAACAACAGAAAUUUAUUCACUCACAGUUCUGGAAGCUAGAAGCCAGAAAUCAGGAUGUCAGCAAGAACAUAUUCCCUCUGAAGUCUCUAGGGAAGAAUCCUUCCUUGCCUUUUUCUAGUUUCUGAUGGCCCCUUCCAUUCCUUGUAGCUGCAUCACUUCAAUCUCUGCCUCUCUCAUCACAUGGCUAUUUUCCUUACGUGUGUGUCUGUGUGUUCUCUUUUUAUAAGGACACUAGUCACUGAAUUUAGGGCUCACCCUAAUAUACUAUGACCUCACCUUAACCAAUUACAUCUGCAAAGACCCUAUUUCCAAAUAAGGUUACAUUCUGAGGUUCCAGGUGAACAUGAAUUUAUGGGGAACAUUAUUCAAGCCACUACACCAUCAUACCAAGAACCAGGAAGGUCUCAAACUGAAUGAAAGAAAACAAUCAAAAGAUGGCAACAGCUACAUGGGAGAUAUGUUAGAAUUAUUCGACAAAGAUUUUAAAGCAUGAUAAAAAUGCUUAUAUGAGCAAUUACAAAAACACAUUAAAAAAAGAAGAUCUCAGCAAACAAAAAGAAGAUACAAGAAGAAACAAAUGGAAAUUUUAGAAGAGAAAAAUACAAUAACCAAAGCAAAAGACUCAGUAGAUGAGCUGAAGAGUAGAGAGGGCAGAAGAAAGAAUCAGUAAACUGGAAGACAGAAUAGAAAUUACCAAUCUAAAUAACAGAAAGAAAAUAUGCUGAAAUAAAAAAUGAACAGAGCCUCAGGGACCUGUUCUAUAUAAUAAAAGGUUUAACAUCCAUGUCAUCAGAAUGUCUCUGGAAAGACAGGAGAGGAGAGGGAGGACUGAAGAAAGUUCUCCCAAAAAUAAUGGCUGAAAACUUCCCAAGUUUGUCAAAAGAUAUAAAUCUAUAGAUUCAAAAAUCUAAGCGAAUCCCAAACAGGAUAAAUCCAAAGUAAUCCACCCUAAGGCACAUGAUAGUCAAACUCCUAAAAACAAAAGAUGAAGAAAAACAUCUUGAAAAACAGCAAAAGAGAAACACUGUACCUAUAGGGGAAAAACAAUUCAAACGACAGUGGAUUUCUCAUCAGAAAUCAUGUAUCACAAUAUUUUUAAGUGCCAAAAGAAAAAAUCCUAUAUCCAGAAGUAUCCUUCGUGAAAUGAAGACACUCUCAGAUGAAGGAAAACUAAAAGAAUUUGUCACCAGCAGACCAACCCUGAAAGAAUGGCUAAAGGAAGUUCUCUAAACAUCAGGAAGAAAGAAGGAGCCAGUAAGCAAAAAUAUGGGUAAAUAUAAUAGGUUUUCCUUCUACUCUUGAGUUUUCUGAAUUAUGUUUGAUUGGAGAAGCAAAAGUUAUAAUACUGUCUGGUUCUAAAUAU